Molecule: long non-coding RNA, 401 nt
Organism: Suricata suricatta (meerkat)
Lineage: Eukaryota; Metazoa; Chordata; Mammalia; Carnivora; Herpestidae
Exons: 4
Source: RefSeq, a predicted model, not a curated record
CAGACCUGUCUUCCUUUUUAUUAUUCUGACUUCUUAUAAGCCACAGUGACCUGGGAGUCCACUGCACCAUCUCUUGGUCCUGUACCAACAUUGUGAUCUAUGGAAAGGGACUCCUGCCAAGGACUUUGAGGCGGAAAACUGAUAAUAUUAAAGUGGGUCUUCUGAACGACUGAAAGCUCAAAUGAACGUCAGUAUGUACAGACCUGCAGAACUUAUUACUGCCGCUCAGACAGCACCUGCAUGAAUCUGAGGACUUGAAGGGAAGCAGCCUGGCUGAACUUGGCCCUUAUGACAGAGACACGGGUGGCAGCGAGAGGGGUCCACCGAGUUUCUUGAUGGCCUGAGAGAGCAAGCCUGUGGUUGAAAGAACCGUCUCCAAGACAUGCUGCACAGGCUGAGAU